CGACGGGGGGGCUAACGUUGUUCGGAAUCACUGGGCGUAAAGGGUCCGUAGGCGGCCCCAUAAGUCGGAGGUGAAAGCCCUAGGCUUAACCUAGGAAUUGCCUUCGAAACUGUAGGGCUGGAGUCCGGUAGAGGGAGACGGAAUUCCCGUGUAGCGGUGAAAUGCGUAGAUAUCGGGAGGAACACCUGUGGCGAAGGCGGUCUCCUGGGCCGGUACUGACGCUGAGGGACGAAAGCGUGGGGAGCAAACAGGAUUAGAUACCCCAGUA
This 268-nucleotide ribosomal RNA is filed under the name uncultured prokaryote. RNAcentral describes it as "partial 16S ribosomal RNA". It matches the Rfam family "Bacterial small subunit ribosomal RNA", at positions 523 to 792 of the family's 1533-position model. The record is from RNAcentral.